RNAcentral lists this ribosomal RNA (2923 nucleotides) under Klebsiella pneumoniae. RNAcentral's name for it is "23S ribosomal RNA". It matches the Rfam family "Bacterial large subunit ribosomal RNA". The record is from RNAcentral. Lineage: Bacteria; Pseudomonadati; Pseudomonadota; Gammaproteobacteria; Enterobacterales; Enterobacteriaceae.
GGGUUGUGAGGUUAAGCGACUAAGCGUACACGGUGGAUGCCCUGGCAGUCAGAGGCGAUGAAGGACGUGCUAAUCUGCGAAAAGCGUCGGUAAGGUGAUAUGAACCGUUACAGCCGGCGAUGUCCGAAUGGGGAAACCCAGUGCAAUGCGUUGCACUAUCGUUAACUGAAUACAUAGGUUAACGAGGCGAACCGGGGGAACUGAAACAUCUAAGUACCCCGAGGAAAAGAAAUCAACCGAGAUUCCCCCAGUAGCGGCGAGCGAACGGGGAGCAGCCCAGAGUCUGAAUCAGCUUGUGUGUUAGUGGAACGGUCUGGAAAGUCCGACGGUACAGGGUGAUAGUCCCGUACACCAAAAUGCACAGGUUGUGAACUCGAAGAGUAGGGCGGGACACGUGGUAUCCUGUCUGAAUAUGGGGGGACCAUCCUCCAAGGCUAAAUACUCCUGACUGACCGAUAGUGAACCAGUACCGUGAGGGAAAGGCGAAAAGAACCCCGGCGAGGGGAGUGAAAAAGAACCUGAAACCGUGUACGUACAAGCAGUGGGAGCACCUUCGGGUGUGACUGCGUACCUUUUGUAUAAUGGGUCAGCGACUUAUAUUCUGUAGCAAGGUUAACCGUAUAGGGGAGCCGCAGGGAAACCGAGUCUUAACUGGGCGUUAAGUUGCAGGGUAUAGACCCGAAACCCGGUGAUCUAGCCAUGGGCAGGUUGAAGGUUGGGUAACACUAACUGGAGGACCGAACCGACUAAUGUUGAAAAAUUAGCGGAUGACUUGUGGCUGGGGGUGAAAGGCCAAUCAAACCGGGAGAUAGCUGGUUCUCCCCGAAAGCUAUUUAGGUAGCGCCUCGUGAAUUCAUCUUCGGGGGUAGAGCACUGUUUCGGCUAGGGGGUCAUCCCGACUUACCAACCCGAUGCAAACUACGAAUACCGAAGAAUGUUAUCACGGGAGACACACGGCGGGUGCUAACGUCCGUCGUGAAGAGGGAAACAACCCAGACCGCCAGCUAAGGUCCCAAAGUCAUGGUUAAGUGGGAAACGAUGUGGGAAGGCACAGACAGCCAGGAUGUUGGCUUAGAAGCAGCCAUCAUUUAAAGAAAGCGUAAUAGCUCACUGGUCGAGUCGGCCUGCGCGGAAGAUGUAACGGGGCUAAACCAUGCACCGAAGCUGCGGCAGCGACACUAUGUGUUGUUGGGUAGGGGAGCGUUCUGUAAGCCUGCGAAGGUGUGCUGUGAGGCAUGCUGGAGGUAUCAGAAGUGCGAAUGCUGACAUAAGUAACGAUAAAGCGGGUGAAAAGCCCGCUCGCCGGAAGACCAAGGGUUCCUGUCCAACGUUAAUCGGGGCAGGGUGAGUCGACCCCUAAGGCGAGGCCGAAAGGCGUAGUCGAUGGGAAACAGGUUAAUAUUCCUGUACUUGGUGUUACUGCGAAGGGGGGACGGAGAAGGCUAUGUUAGCCGGGCGACGGUUGUCCCGGUUUAAGCAUGUAGGCUGGUUGUCCAGGCAAAUCCGGAUAAUCAAGGCUGAGGUGUGAUGACGAGGCACUACGGUGCUGAAGUAACAAAUGCCCUGCUUCCAGGAAAAGCCUCUAAGCAUCAGGUAACAUCAAAUCGUACCCCAAACCGACACAGGUGGUCAGGUAGAGAAUACCAAGGCGCUUGAGAGAACUCGGGUGAAGGAACUAGGCAAAAUGGUGCCGUAACUUCGGGAGAAGGCACGCUGGUGUGUAGGUGAAGUCCCUGCGGAUGGAGCUGAGACCAGUCGAAGAUACCAGCUGGCUGCAACUGUUUAUUAAAAACACAGCACUGUGCAAACACGAAAGUGGACGUAUACGGUGUGACGCCUGCCCGGUGCCGGAAGGUUAAUUGAUGGGGUUAUCCGUAAGGAGAAGCUCUUGAUCGAAGCCCCGGUAAACGGCGGCCGUAACUAUAACGGUCCUAAGGUAGCGAAAUUCCUUGUCGGGUAAGUUCCGACCUGCACGAAUGGCGUAAUGAUGGCCAGGCUGUCUCCACCCGAGACUCAGUGAAAUUGAACUCGCUGUGAAGAUGCAGUGUACCCGCGGCAAGACGGAAAGACCCCGUGAACCUUUACUAUAGCUUGACACUGAACAUUGAGCCUUGAUGUGUAGGAUAGGUGGGAGGCUUUGAAGCGUGGACGCCAGUCUGCGUGGAGCCAACCUUGAAAUACCACCCUUUAAUGUUUGAUGUUCUAACGUUGGCCCCUGACCGGGGUUGCGGACAGUGUCUGGUGGGUAGUUUGACUGGGGCGGUCUCCUCCCAAAGCGUAACGGAGGAGCACGAAGGUUAGCUAAUCCUGGUCGGACAUCAGGAGGUUAGUGCAAUGGCAUAAGCUAGCUUGACUGCGAGCGUGACGGCGCGAGCAGGUGCGAAAGCAGGUCAUAGUGAUCCGGUGGUUCUGAAUGGAAGGGCCAUCGCUCAACGGAUAAAAGGUACUCCGGGGAUAACAGGCUGAUACCGCCCAAGAGUUCAUAUCGACGGCGGUGUUUGGCACCUCGAUGUCGGCUCAUCACAUCCUGGGGCUGAAGUAGGUCCCAAGGGUAUGGCUGUUCGCCAUUUAAAGUGGUACGCGAGCUGGGUUUAGAACGUCGUGAGACAGUUCGGUCCCUAUCUGCCGUGGGCGCUGGAGAAUUGAGGGGGGCUGCUCCUAGUACGAGAGGACCGGAGUGGACGCAUCACUGGUGUUCGGGUUGUCAUGCCAAUGGCACUGCCCGGUAGCUAAAUGCGGAAGAGAUAAGUGCUGAAAGCAUCUAAGCACGAAACUUGCCCCGAGAUGAGUUCUCCCUGAGACUUUAAGUCUCCUGAAGGAACGUUGAAGACGACGACGUUGAUAGGCCGGGUGUGUAAGCGCAGCGAUGCGUUGAGCUAACCGGUACUAAUGAACCGUGAGGCUUAACCUUACAACGCCGAAG